RNAcentral lists this transfer RNA (86 nucleotides) under bacterium (candidate division B38) B3_B38. RNAcentral describes it as "tRNA-Leu". It matches the Rfam family "tRNA". Rfam says of the family: Transfer RNA (tRNA) molecules are approximately 80 nucleotides in length. Their secondary structure includes four short double-helical elements and three loops (D, anti-codon, and T loops). RNAcentral also lists the same sequence under 1 other name. The record is from RNAcentral.
GCGAAAGUGGCGGAAUUGGUAGACGCGCUGGAUUUAGGAUCCAGUGGGUAAUUCCCGUGGGGGUUCGAAUCCCCCCUUUCGCACCA